GCGGCUUGAUCUGAUACACCGAAAAAUUUAAGUUUAUAUAGUAAACGGUUGUGUGGAACUUUGUCAAAGGCUUUUGCGAAAUCCAUGAUGAUUAGAUCGGUUUGUAUAUUUUUGUCGUUAUUUGAACAUAGUUGGUGAAUUAGUGAUAUUAUUUGGGAUUCGCAUGAUCUAUUUGCCCUGAAGCCGUGUUGCAAGUCAUAAAGUAUGUUGUUGGAUUCAAGGUGUUUCAUAAUGUUGCUUGCAAUUAUGUGCUCUAAUAAUUUGCAUGAAAUACAUGUAAGUGAAAUUGGACGAUAGUUACCAGGAUGAUGUUUG
RNAcentral lists this long non-coding RNA (315 nucleotides) under Mytilus galloprovincialis (Mediterranean mussel). The record is from RNAcentral. Lineage: Eukaryota; Metazoa; Mollusca; Bivalvia; Mytilida; Mytilidae.